This is a long non-coding RNA of Panicum virgatum (switchgrass), 618 nucleotides long. RefSeq lists it as uncharacterized. NCBI's taxonomy places the organism in Eukaryota, Viridiplantae, Streptophyta, Magnoliopsida, Poales, Poaceae. The transcript has 3 exons. The record is from RefSeq and is a predicted model, not a curated record.
GUGUUUUGGACCUCAAGUGACACACUUGAAUAGAUCGUUGACCUAAAAAUGCAUUUUCGAAGUUCAUGGACCUAAACAGAAUAUGUCGACUAGUUUAAGAACCCCAGUGCUACUCAGAAGAAAAUAUUGGUUGAAGGUGGUCAAGCUACCAUGUUAGACAUAGACUUUGGUACCUAUCCAUUUGUUACAUCCUCAAGCCCCUCAGCAGGUGGAAUUUGCACUGGGCUUGGUAUUUCUCCUAGAAGUCUCGGUGAUAUCAUUAGAGUGGUAAAAGCAUACACGACUAGGGUUGGAUCUGGUCCUUUCCCAACAGAACUUUUGGGUAAGACUGGCGACCUGCUCCGUGCAUCUGGAAUGGAAUUCGGGACCACAACAGGUCGGCCCAGGCGUUGUGGCUGGCUUGACAUAGUUGCACUGAAAUACUGUUGCCAAAUCAAUGGCUUCUCAUCUUUGAAUCUCAAAAAAUAGUUGUGUUAACUGGACUCAAGGAAAUUAAGCUCGGUAUCUCAUACUACACCAAUGAUGGUAACACAGUCCAAUAAUUUCCAGCAGACCUUGAUCUUUUGGAGCAAAUAAAGGUCAAAUACGAGGCCCUACCUGGAUGGGAGGAAGAUAUUU